CUGUAUAAAUAAAGGAAUCAGUGACUCAACCCUUAGAGAGUUGUCUUAGGAAACCUGUUACUAAAAAUAUAUUGCAAUCCAACUGUGCCUUGCGUGCCAUUUUGCCAAGCCAAACUCAGCGAGAAGACUGCUGGCUUUCUCCACGGCGUGGCAUCAUUAGGGGGAUAAACCGUGAGCCUGGUCUAAUGAGCAAUGAAACACUUUGUCCCCCCAACUGCCUCCGCCUCUGGACUGACCUGGUGCUUCCCCAUGUGACCCUGCAUGGUGUCUGAUGUUCUCCCCAAGGAACCCUGCUGUCAGAAGAGGAAGAGGCCUUUCCAAACAGACAUCUGUCUUCCAGUGGAUCUGCCUCUCCAGACCCCACCCAGGGCUGCUCUGAGCCUCACAGAGAAUAAUGCUAGGAGAUGCCCUCAUCCUGGCCCAACUGGGACGGUUGGGCACUGGCCCCUGGUUCCAGUUUCCUUCUCAGCCCUAGAGCCCAGGUUGAGAGGCUCCUGGGCAGUGACUCCGUCAGAAGAUGUUGAUUCCACAUAUAAACGAUAUCGUAUGACAUCUGGAGGCCGAGAGUUUUGAGUGCCAUUCACCAAUACCAGGAAACUAACUUACUCGCUGUGACCUUAAACCUGUGAAAUGAGAUUUAUCCAGAAGCGGGAGUUAUAAGCGAUGGGAUCAACUCUCAGGAAAUGAAUGAUCUAAUUGUGAAUGGUGUCAAAGGACCUAUUCUAUAAGCAAGCAAGGCAGACUCCGAUCUAUAUUCUCCUACACAAACAGUAGGAAAUGUGGGGCAUUGUGUGAUACUCACUGGAAAAGAAAAAAUGUAAAAGGAAAGCAAUGAAUUUUCUUCGACCUUAGAAAACAUUAUUUUUGUGGGUAUAACCUAGAAUCAAUUAUUAACCCCCUUUUGAAUAAAGCAUAACGUGUAGUAAACUGCAAGGAGGGUUGUUCAUUUCAUUGAAUGAUAAAUAAAAUGAUGUUUGACCAAUUUGAUGAGGACAGUACGUCAGACUCAAAUGUUCCGGCCUUUGAUGUUGCCGUAGCGACAAACCUUAUUAAGAAGCUUUUUACAUUUAAAAUAUGAAAAAUGCAAACAAAAUUUAGUAGUGAAAGUAAAAUUAAAUAUUUAAUGACAUAAUUAAGUCUAUUAAUGGUAUGUUCUUUAUUUUGCAGAUUAA
Molecule: long non-coding RNA, 1172 nt
Organism: Physeter macrocephalus (sperm whale)
Lineage: Eukaryota; Metazoa; Chordata; Mammalia; Artiodactyla; Physeteridae
Exons: 4
Source: RefSeq, a predicted model, not a curated record